GCCCACGUGGCGAAAUUGGUAAACGUUGCGGUCUCAGAAGCCGUUGCCGCAAGGCUUAAGAGUUCGAGUCUCUUCGUGGGCACCA
This 85-nucleotide transfer RNA is filed under the name Sphingobacteriales bacterium. RNAcentral's name for it is "tRNA-Leu". It matches the Rfam family "tRNA". From Rfam's summary of the family: Transfer RNA (tRNA) molecules are approximately 80 nucleotides in length. Their secondary structure includes four short double-helical elements and three loops (D, anti-codon, and T loops). Further hydrogen bonds mediate the characteristic L-shaped molecular structure. tRNAs have two regions of fundamental functional importance: the anti-codon, which is responsible for specific mRNA codon recognition, and the 3' end, to which the tRNAs corresponding amino acid is attached (by aminoacyl-tRNA synthetases). tRNAs cope with the degeneracy of the genetic code in two manners: having more than one tRNA (with a specific anti-codon) for a particular amino acid; and 'wobble' base-pairing, i.e. permitting non-standard base-pairing at the 3rd anti-codon position. Lineage: Bacteria; Pseudomonadati; Bacteroidota; Sphingobacteriia; Sphingobacteriales. The record is from RNAcentral.